AUGGGAAAGAAUUCGAAAAAGCAUAAAAAAGAACGAAGCGGCGCGCCGAGCAAAGAUCGCUGAAAAAAAUGAGGAACGCCGUCAAAAUGAGAUAACGUUUGAUAAGUGGGUCGCCAAGAAAAGUACAUUGAAAAAGUAUGGAAAAUGGCGUAAGAAGCAGGAGGCGAAGAAGCUCGAGUCGGCAGAGGAGAAACGAGCCCGGAAAAGACGCGAAACGAAAGGAUGCUGACGCAGAGGACUUCGGUUUUGAAGAAGUGGAAAACCAGGAGCCGGUCGAAGCUCCGAAUAAGCGAGCAACGAAUUCAGCGAAGGAAUUCAACUUGGGUGUAUGCCGACCAGAAGCUGGAAAUCAUCGGGAGCUCAAAGAAAAAUUAAAGAUGAUUGGAGUUGACGAUUUCGAUGAUGUCGAGUACAGAAUAAUGCCGCUUCAGAACUCCUUCUCCGCGAAAAUCGUUAACUUUUCAGUUAAGAGUGCGGAAUCGGCCGGAAAAAUCGCCACCCACAUCAAAUUGGAUGAUUGGAAGAACAUUUUCGCGCCUGCCACAAUGAUCAGUGGUUUUUUUGAGCCUGUCGUCAAGAGCUAUCUCGAGCAAGCUCUCAAGCUCGAAAUGGUGAAAAAGCGGCUGGAUUGAAGGCUCUACGGUGUAUUGCGAGCAGCGGCACCAGGAUUCUACCACCGCCGGCCCGCUCUCUCCUCUUCGA
Molecule: unclassified non-coding RNA, 702 nt
Filed under: Caenorhabditis elegans
Lineage: Eukaryota; Metazoa; Nematoda; Chromadorea; Rhabditida; Rhabditidae
Description: Non-coding transcript of protein-coding gene W03H9.2a
Source: RNAcentral